Molecule: ribosomal RNA, 440 nt
Filed under: uncultured bacterium
Lineage: Bacteria
Description: partial 16S ribosomal RNA
Rfam family: Bacterial small subunit ribosomal RNA
Source: RNAcentral
CCUACGGGUGGCAGCAGUGGGGAAUAUUGCUCAAUGGGGGAAACCCUGAUGCAGCGACGCCGCGUGAGGGAUGAAGUAUUUCGGGUUGUAAAGCCCUUUCAGUAGAGAAGAAAAUGACGGUAUCUGACUAAUAAGCCCCGGCUAACUACGUGCCAGCAGCCGCGGUAAUACGGAGGGUGCAAGCGUUAUGCGGAUUUACUGGGGGUAAAGUGAGCGUAGACGGGCUAGCAAGUCAGAUGUGAAAGCCUAGGGCUUAACCAUAGAACUGCUUUUGAAACUGCUGUGCUAGAGUACGGGAGAGGUAGGCGGAAUUCUUGGUGUAGCGGUGAAAUGCGUAGAUAUCAAGAGGAACACCCAUUGCGAAGGCGACCUGCUAGACUAUAACUGACGUUGAUGCGCGAAAGCGUGGGGAGCAAACAGGAUUAGAUACCCGUGUAGUC